This is a small nucleolar RNA of Pyrgilauda ruficollis (rufous-necked snowfinch), 85 nucleotides long. RefSeq annotates it as small nucleolar RNA SNORA5. NCBI's taxonomy places the organism in Eukaryota, Metazoa, Chordata, Aves, Passeriformes, Passeridae. The transcript has a single exon. The record is from RefSeq and is a predicted model, not a curated record.
UGCAGCCCAGCAGCUCCUGCUCAAAGCAGGGGCUUGCACAGGAGUCUGCCCCAGCAAACCAGCACAUGGAAACAUGCUGACAUGA